UACGGGGGGGGCGAGCGUUGUUCGGAAUUAUUGGGCGUAAAGAGCUUGUAGGCGGUUUGUCGCGUCUGCCGUGAAAAUCCGGGGCUCAACCCCGGACUUGCGGUGGGUACGGGCAGACUAGAGUGUGGUAGGGGAGACUGGAAUUCCUGGUGUAGCGGUGAAAUGCGCAGAUAUCAGGAGGAACACCGAUGGCGAAGGCAGGUCUCUGGGCCACUACUGACGCUGAGAAGCGAAAGCGUGGGGAGCGAACAGG
Molecule: ribosomal RNA, 253 nt
Filed under: uncultured bacterium
Lineage: Bacteria
Description: partial 16S ribosomal RNA
Rfam family: Bacterial small subunit ribosomal RNA
Source: RNAcentral